RNAcentral lists this ribosomal RNA (254 nucleotides) under uncultured bacterium. Its description in RNAcentral is "partial 16S ribosomal RNA". It matches the Rfam family "Bacterial small subunit ribosomal RNA", at positions 524 to 776 of the family's 1533-position model. The record is from RNAcentral.
UACAGAGGGUGCAAGCGUUUGUUCGGAAUUAUUGGGCGUAAAGCGCGUGUAGGCGGCUUUGCAAGUCGGGUGUGAAAGCCCUCAGCUCAACUGAGGAAGUGCGCCCGAAACUGCAGAGCUUGAGUGCCGGAGAGGGUGGCGGAAUUCCCCAAGUAGAGGUGAAAUUCGUAGAUAUGGGGAGGAACACCGGUGGCGAAGGCGGCCACCUGGACGGUAACUGACGCUGAGACGCGAAAGCGUGGGUAGCAAACAGG